This 255-nucleotide ribosomal RNA is filed under the name uncultured bacterium. RNAcentral's name for it is "partial 16S ribosomal RNA". It matches the Rfam family "Bacterial small subunit ribosomal RNA", at positions 524 to 776 of the family's 1533-position model. The record is from RNAcentral.
UACGGAGGCCUCAAGCGUUACCCGGACUCACUGGGCGUAAAGGGUGUGUAGGCGGUCGUGUUAGUCUUUCGUGAAAGAUCUUGGGCUUACCCCAGGAGGCGCGGGAGAAACGGCACGGCUUAGAGGAUAUGAGAGGUAAAGGGAACUCAUGGUGUAGGAGUGAAAUCCGUUGAUAUCAUGGGGAACACCAAAUGCGAAGGCACUGUACUGGCAUACUCCUGACGCUGAAACACGAAAGCGUGGGUAGCGAACGGG